CACUGAGUGUGAUCACUGAUGUC
RNAcentral lists this non-coding RNA (23 nucleotides) under Cricetulus griseus (Chinese hamster). Lineage: Eukaryota; Metazoa; Chordata; Mammalia; Rodentia; Cricetidae. The record is from RNAcentral.